RNAcentral lists this ribosomal RNA (482 nucleotides) under uncultured bacterium. RNAcentral describes it as "partial 16S ribosomal RNA". It matches the Rfam family "Bacterial small subunit ribosomal RNA", at positions 30 to 507 of the family's 1533-position model. The record is from RNAcentral.
AUUGAACGCUGGCGGCAUGCUUUACACAUGCAAGUCGAACGGUAACAGGCCGCAAGGUGCUGACGAGUGGCGCACGGGUGAGUAAUGCAUCUGAACGUGCCCAGUCGUGGGGGAUAACUACUCGAAAGAGUAGCUAAUACCGCAUACGCUCUAUGGAUGAAAGCGGGGGACCGUAAGGCCUCGCGCGAUUGGAGCGGCCGAUGUCAGAUUAGGUAGUUGGUGGGGUAAAGGCUCACCAAGCCAACGAUCUGUAGCUGGUCUGAGAGGACGACCAGCCACACUGGGACUGAGACACGGCCCAGACUCCUACGGGAGGCAGCAGUGGGGAAUUUUGGACAAUGGGCGCAAGCCUGAUCCAGCAAUGCCGCGUGCAGGAAGAAGGCCUUCGGGUUGUAAACUGCUUUUGUACGGAACGAAACGGCUCUGGUUAAUACCCGGGGCUAAUGACGGUACCGUAAGAAUAAGCACCGGCUAACUACGUG